CCCGGGUUAGCUCAGUUGGUAGAGCGCUUCACUGGAAAUGGGGAGGUCCCGGGUUCAAUACCCGGACCAGGCG
Molecule: transfer RNA, 73 nt
Filed under: Ixodes scapularis (black-legged tick)
Lineage: Eukaryota; Metazoa; Arthropoda; Arachnida; Ixodida; Ixodidae
Rfam family: tRNA
About the family: Transfer RNA (tRNA) molecules are approximately 80 nucleotides in length. Their secondary structure includes four short double-helical elements and three loops (D, anti-codon, and T loops).
Source: Rfam by way of RNAcentral